This 415-nucleotide ribosomal RNA is filed under the name uncultured Thermoplasmatales archaeon. Its description in RNAcentral is "bacterial SSU rRNA". It matches the Rfam family "Archaeal small subunit ribosomal RNA", at positions 924 to 1338 of the family's 1478-position model. Lineage: Archaea; Methanobacteriati; Thermoplasmatota; Thermoplasmata; Thermoplasmatales. The record is from RNAcentral.
AACUCACCAGGAGCGACGGUUACAUGAAGGCCAGGCUUGACUGACCUUGCCUGAUUUUCCGAGAGGUGGUGCAUGGCCGUCGUCAGUUCGUACCGUAAGGCGUUCUCUUAAGUGAGAUAACGAACGAGACCCUCGCCGUUAAUUGCUAGUGUUCUCCCCGGAGGGCACGCACAUUAACGGGACCGCUGUCGCUAAGGACAGAGGAGGGGAGGUCAACGGUAGGUCCGUAUGCCCCGAAUCUCCUGGGCUACACGCGCGCUACAAAGGUUGGGACAAUGGGCUCCGACAUCGAAAGGUGAAGGCAAUCUCGAAACCCAAUCGUAGUUCGGAUUGAGGGUUGUAACUCACCCUCAUGAAGCUGGAUUCCGUAGUAAUCGCUUGUCAACAUCAAGCGGUGAAUAUGCCCCUGCUCCUU